UACAGAGGGUGCGAGCGUUGUCCGGAUUUAUUGGGCGUAAAGAGCUCGUAGGCGGCUUGUUGCGUCAGCUGUGAAAACCCGCGGCUUAACCGUGGGCCUGCAGCUGAUACGGGCAAGCUAGAGUUCGGUAGGGGAGACUGGAAUUCCUGGUGUAGCGGUGAAAUGCGCAGAUAUCAGGAGGAACACCGGUGGCGAAGGCGGGUCUCUGGGCCGAUACUGACGCUGAGGAGCGAAAGCGUGGGGAGCGAACAGG
RNAcentral lists this ribosomal RNA (253 nucleotides) under uncultured bacterium. RNAcentral describes it as "partial 16S ribosomal RNA". It matches the Rfam family "Bacterial small subunit ribosomal RNA", at positions 524 to 776 of the family's 1533-position model. The record is from RNAcentral.